This is a non-coding RNA of Cinara cedri, 309 nucleotides long. The record is from the annotation of a GenBank genome assembly. NCBI's taxonomy places the organism in Eukaryota, Metazoa, Arthropoda, Insecta, Hemiptera, Aphididae.
GCCAAUUUGCUGAAUAGGAAAAGUAAAAUUAUUUUACGGGACCCGUACAUUUUGUAAGACUUGCAUUUUUUCUUUGUCUUCUUUAUCGUAAGAAGAAAAAUGAUCAUAAUUACCAGCGAUAUCAGAUGUUGACGGUAAAGCCGAAGAUUCUUAAAGAUUGGGUCGAUCACUGAUUUUUUAAGUUUUUGGUUUAAUAGUGAAAUACUUUGAGUACUAAGUACUAGUACCAAGUCCGUUUCGUUUUUGACUCAUUAUUACUCAGCUUUUUUACACACGCGUUUUCAACACAACGGUCACAAUGAAUAAACU